GGUUAAGUUAGAAAGGGCGCACGGUGGAUGCCUUGGCACUAGGAGCCGAAGAAGGACGGGACUAACACCGAUAUGCUUUGGGGAGCUGUACGUAAGCGUUGAUCCAGAGAUUUCCGAAUGGGGGAACCCACUAUCUUUAGUCGGAUAGUAUCCUUACGUGAAUACAUAGCGUGAGGAAGGCAGACCCAGGGAACUGAAACAUCUAAGUACCUGGAGGAAGAGAAAGAAAAAUCGAUUUCCUGAGUAGCGGCGAGCGAAACGGAAAGAGCCCAAACCAAGAAGCUUGCUUCUUGGGGUUGUAGGACACUCUAUACGGAGUUACAAAAGAAAGUUAUAAAUGAAGCGGUCUGGAAAGGCCCGCCAAAGACGGUAACAGCCCGGUAGUUGAAAUGGCUUUCCCUCCAGAGUGGAUCCUGAGUACGGCGGAACACGUGAAAUUCCGUCGGAAUCCGGGAGGACCAUCUCCCAAGGCUAAAUACUCCCUAGUGACCGAUAGUGAACCAGUACCGUGAGGGAAAGGUGAAAAGCACCCCGGAAGGGGAGUGAAACAGUUCCUGAAACCGUGUGCCUACAAGUAGUUAGAGCCCGUUAAUGGGUGAUAGCGUGCCUUUUGUAGAAUGAACCGGCGAGUUACGAUUUGUUGCAAGGUUAAGCGGAAAAAGCGGAGCCGUAGCGAAAGCGAGUCUGAAUAGGGCGCAUAAGUAACAGGUCGUAGACCCGAAACCAGGUGAUCUACCCAUGUCCAGGAUGAAGGUAAGGUAAUACUUACUGGAGGUCCGAACCCACGCACGUUGAAAAGUGCGGGGAUGAGGUGUGGGUAGCGGAGAAAUUCCAAUCGAACUUGGAGAUAGCUGGUUCUCUCCGAAAUAGCUUUAGGGCUAGCCUCGAGGUAAAGAGUCAUGGAGGUAGAGCACUGUUUGGACUAGGGGCCCUUCUCGGGUUACCGAAUUCAGAUAAACUCCGAAUGCCAUGUACUUAUACUCGGGAGUCAGACUGCGAGUGAUAAGAUCCGUAGUCGAAAGGGAAACAGCCCAGACCACCAGUUAAGGUCCCCAAAUAUAUGUUAAGUGGAAAAGGAUGUGGGGUUGCUUAGACAACCAGGAUGUUGGCUUAGAAGCAGCCACCAUUGAAAGAGUGCGUAAUAGCUCACUGGUCGAGUGACCCCGCGCCGAAAAUGUACCGGGGCUAAACAUAUUACCGAAACUGUGGAUGAACCUCUUUAGAGGUUCGUGGUAGGAGAGCGUUCUAAGGGCGGUGAAGUCAGACCGGAAGGACUGGUGGAGCGCUUAGAAGUGAGAAUGCCGGUAUGAGUAGCGAAAGAAGGGUGAGAAUCCCUUCCACCGAAUAUCUAAGGUUUCCUGAGGAAGGCUCGUCCGCUCAGGGUUAGUCGGGACCUAAGCCGAGGCCGAUAGGCGUAGGCGAUGGACAACAGGUAGAGAUUCCUGUACCAGUGCUAAUUGUUUAACCGAUGGGGUGACACAGAAGGAUAGGGAAUCGCACGAAUGGAAAUGUGCGUCCAAGCAGUGAGUGUGAGAAGUAGGCAA
This 1544-nucleotide ribosomal RNA is filed under the name Listeria monocytogenes. RNAcentral describes it as "partial 23S ribosomal RNA". It matches the Rfam family "Bacterial large subunit ribosomal RNA", at positions 1 to 1539 of the family's 2925-position model. Lineage: Bacteria; Bacillati; Bacillota; Bacilli; Caryophanales; Listeriaceae. The record is from RNAcentral.